Molecule: long non-coding RNA, 310 nt
Organism: Octopus sinensis (East Asian common octopus)
Lineage: Eukaryota; Metazoa; Mollusca; Cephalopoda; Octopoda; Octopodidae
Exons: 2
Source: RefSeq, a predicted model, not a curated record
AUUAAAAUAACAGGUGGUAAGAAUUGGUUCCAAUAUAUUUAUUAGCAGAGACUAAUUUUACUGAAUGACAAACAGUCCCAACUGUUGGUUUUGGAAUGGUAACAGAGAGAGAAAGAGAGAGAGAGAGACAGAUAAAGAGAGAGAGAGAGAAGUCAUCAUUAUUUUUGUAGAACAAAGCAUUAACUCAGAGGAAAAGUUGGAGCUUUGGUAUUUAUGAUGGAAUUGUGAAUUAUUUAGACUUCCUUUUUUUUAUUCACUUUUUGUUGUUCUUUUUUAAAGUUUUUUUUUUUGUUGGUCUUGAAAAAAAAAA